UACGUAGGUGGCGAGCGUUAUCCGGAAUUAUUGGGCGUAAAGAGGGAGCAGGCGGCAAUUAGGGUCUGUGGUGAAAGACUGAAGCUCAACUUCAGUAAGCCAUGGAAACCGAAUAGCUAGAGUGCAUUAGAGGAUCGUGGAAUUCCAUGUGUAGCGGUGAAAUGCGUAGAUAUAUGGAGGAACACCAGUGGCGAAGGCGACGAUCUGGGAUGCAACUGACGCUCAGUCCCGAAAGCGUGGGGAGCAAAUAGG
RNAcentral lists this ribosomal RNA (252 nucleotides) under uncultured bacterium. Its description in RNAcentral is "partial 16S ribosomal RNA". It matches the Rfam family "Bacterial small subunit ribosomal RNA", at positions 524 to 776 of the family's 1533-position model. The record is from RNAcentral.